GAUGAACGCUGGCGGCGUGCCUAAUACAUGCAAGUCGAGCGAACAGACCAGGUUCUUGUUCCUCUUUCGUUGUCGGCGGAUGGGUGAGUAACACGUGGCUAACCUCCCUAUAGGCCUGGGCUUACUUCUGGAACCCGGAGCCAAUACCGGAUUAUAUAUUGAACCGCAUGGUUCUAUAUUUAAAGGCGGUUUUUCUUUUACUUAUUGAUGAUUCCGCGCCGCCUUAGCUAGUUGGUAAGGUAACGGCUUACCAAGGCAACGAUGGGUAGCAGACCUGCGGGUGUGAUGGGCGACAGUGGAACUGAGACAGGGACAAGGCUCCGACGGGAGGGAGCAGUAGGGAAUCUGACGAAAUGGGCGAAGGCGUAACGGAGAAGCGCCGCGUGAGUGAGGAAGGUCUUCGGAUCGUAGAACUCUGUUAUUAGGGACCAACAAAUGUGUAAGUAACUAUGAACGUCUUGACGGUACCUAAACAGAAAGCAACGGCUAACUACGUG
This 497-nucleotide ribosomal RNA is filed under the name uncultured bacterium. RNAcentral's name for it is "partial 16S ribosomal RNA". It matches the Rfam family "Bacterial small subunit ribosomal RNA", at positions 28 to 507 of the family's 1533-position model. The record is from RNAcentral.